RNAcentral lists this ribosomal RNA (444 nucleotides) under uncultured bacterium. Its description in RNAcentral is "bacterial SSU rRNA". It matches the Rfam family "Bacterial small subunit ribosomal RNA", at positions 340 to 778 of the family's 1533-position model. The record is from RNAcentral.
UACGGAAGGCAGCAGGGGGAAUAUUGCACAAUGGGCGCAAGCCUGAUGCAGCCAUGCCGCGUGUAUGAAGAAGGCCUUCGGGUUGUAAAGUACUUUCAGUCGUGAGGAAGGUGUUAAGGUUAAUAACCUUAGCAAUUGACGUUAGCGACAGAAGAAGCACCGGCUAACUCCGUGCCAGCAGCCGCGGUAAUACGGAGGGUGCGAGCGUUAAUCGGAAUUACUGGGCGUAAAGGGCACGCAGGCGGUUAAUUAAGUUGGAUGUGAAAUCCCCGGGCUUAACCUGGGAAUGGCAUUCAAGACUGGUUAGCUAGAGUCUUGUAGAGGGGGUAGAAUUCCAUGUGUAGCGGUGAAAUGCGUAGAGAUGUGGAGGAAUACCGGUGGCGAAGGCGGCCCCUGGACAAAGACUGACGCUCAUGUGCGAAAGCGUGGGGAGCGAAACAGGGA